ACGAACGCUGGCGGCGUGCUUAACACCUGCAAGUCGAACGAAGCUUGAUUACGGAUUCUUCGGAUGAAGUAUGAUAUGACUGAGUGGCGGACGGGUGAGUAACGCGUGAGUAACCUGCCCUUCAGAGGGGGAUAGCGUUUGGAAACGAACGGUAAUACCGCAUAAUGUAUUUUGACCGCAUGAUCGAAAUACCAAAGAUUUAUCGCUGAAGGAUGGACUCGCGUCUGAUUAGGUAGUUGGUGGGGUAACGGCCUACCAAGCCGACGAUCAGUAGCCGGACUGAGAGGUUGAUCGGCCACAUUGGGACUGAGACACGGCCCAGACUCCUACGGGAGGCAGCAGUGGGGAAUAUUGCACAAUGGGCGCAAGCCUGAUGCAGCAACGCCGCGUGAAGGAAGACGGUUUUCGGAUUGUAAACUUCUGUUCUUAGUGAAGAAUAAUGACGGUAGCUAAGGAGCAAGCCACGGCUAACUACGU
Molecule: ribosomal RNA, 477 nt
Filed under: uncultured bacterium
Lineage: Bacteria
Description: partial 16S ribosomal RNA
Rfam family: Bacterial small subunit ribosomal RNA
Source: RNAcentral